UACGAAGGGGCUAGCGUUGCUCGGAAUCACUGGGCGUAAAGGGUGCGUAGGCGGGUCUUUAAGUCAGGGGUGAAAUCCUGGAGCUCAACUCCAGAACUGCCUUUGAUACUGAGGAUCUUGAGUUCGGGAGAGGUGAGUGGAACUGCGAGUGUAGAGGUGAAAUUCGUGAGAUAUUCGGAAGAACACCGGUGCGAAGGCGGCAUCCUGGACCAAUACUGACGCUGAGGAGCGAAAGCCAGGGGAGCAAACGGGG
This 253-nucleotide ribosomal RNA is filed under the name uncultured bacterium. Its description in RNAcentral is "partial 16S ribosomal RNA". It matches the Rfam family "Bacterial small subunit ribosomal RNA", at positions 524 to 777 of the family's 1533-position model. The record is from RNAcentral.